GACGAACGCUGGCGGCGUGCUUAACACAUGCAAGUCGAACGGAAAGGCCUCUUUCGGGGGGUACUCGAGUGGCGAACGGGUGAGUAACACGUGAGUAACCUGCCCUUGACUUUGGGAUAACUUCAGGAAACUGGGGCUAAUACCGGAUAGGAGCUCCUGCUGCAUGGUGGGGGUUGGAAAGUUUCGGCGGUUGGGGAUGGACUCGCGGCUUAUCAGCUUGUUGGUGGGGUAGUGGCUUACCAAGGCUUUGACGGGUAGCCGGCCUGAGAGGGUGACCGGCCACAUUGGGACUGAGAUACGGCCCAGACUCCUACGGGAGGCAGCAGUGGGGAAUAUUGCACAAUGGGUGGGAGCCUGAUGCAGCAACGCCGUGUGCGGGAUGACGGCCUUCGGGUUGUAAACCGCUUUCGCUCAUGACGAAGCUUUGUGUGACGGUAGUGGGUAAAGAAGCACCGGCUAACUACGU
RNAcentral lists this ribosomal RNA (466 nucleotides) under uncultured bacterium. RNAcentral describes it as "partial 16S ribosomal RNA". It matches the Rfam family "Bacterial small subunit ribosomal RNA", at positions 28 to 506 of the family's 1533-position model. The record is from RNAcentral.